GUGCCAGCAGCCGCGGUAACACGUAGGAUCCGAGCGUUAUCCGAAUUUACUGGGCGUAAAGCGCGUGUAGGCGGUUUAGUAAGUUGGAUGUGAAAGCUCCUGGCUCAACUGGGAGAGGCCGUUCAAAACUACUAAACUAGAGGACGGUAGAGGGAGGUGGAAUUCCCGGUGUAGUAGUGAAAUGCGUAGAUAUCGGGAGGAACACCAGUGGCGAAGGCGGCCUCCUGGACCGUUCCUGACGCUCAGACGCGAAAGCUAGGGGAGCGAACGGGAUUAGAUACCCUUGUAGUCC
This 292-nucleotide ribosomal RNA is filed under the name uncultured bacterium. RNAcentral describes it as "partial 16S ribosomal RNA". It matches the Rfam family "Bacterial small subunit ribosomal RNA", at positions 505 to 796 of the family's 1533-position model. The record is from RNAcentral.